UUCGGUUGAUCCUGCCGGACCUGACUGCUAUCGGAUUGAUACUAAGCCAUGCGAGUCUUUGUAGCAAUACAAGGCAGACGGCUCAGUAACACGUAGUCAAUCUACCCUAUGGACGGGGAUAACCUCGGGAAACUGAGAAUAAUACCCGAUAGAUCAUUAUGCCUGGAAUGGUUUAUGGUCGAAAUGAUUUAUCGCCGUAGGAUGGGACUGCGGUCUAUCAGCUUGUUGGUGAGGUAAUGGCCCACCAAGGCUAUAACAGAUACGGGCUCUGAGAGGAGAAGCCCGGAGAUGGGUACUGAGACACGGACCCAGGCCCUAUGGGGCGCAGCAGGCGAGAAAACUUUGCAAUGUGCGAAAGCACGACAAGGUUAAUCCGAGUGUUUUCUGCUAAAGAAAUCUUUUGUCAGUCCUAAAAACACUGAUGAAUAAGGGGUGGGCAAGUUCUGGUGUCAGCCGCCGCGGUAAAACCAGCACCUCAAGUGGUCAGGAGGAUUAUUGGGCCUAAAGCAUCCGUAGCCGGCCGUGUAAGUUUUCGGUUAAAUCUAUACGCUCAACGUAUAGGCUGCCGGGAAUACUGCACAGCUAGGGAGUGGGAGAGGUAGACGGUACUCGGUAGGAAGGGGUAAAAUCCUUUGAUCUAUUGAUGACCACCUGUGGCGAAGGCGGUCUACUAGAACACGUCCGACGGUGAGGGAUGAAAGCUGGGGGAGCAAACCGGAUUAGAUACCCGGGUAGUCCCAGCUGUAAACAAUGCAAACUCAGUGAUGCACUGGCUUGUGGCCAGUGCAGUGCCGCAGGAAGCCGUUAAGUUUGCCGCCUGGGAAGUACGUACGCAAGUAUGAAACUUAAAGGAAUUGGCGGGGGAGCACCACAAGGGGUGAAGCCUGCGGUUCAAUUGGAGUCAACGCCGGAA
Molecule: ribosomal RNA, 913 nt
Filed under: uncultured archaeon
Lineage: Archaea
Description: bacterial SSU rRNA
Rfam family: Archaeal small subunit ribosomal RNA
Source: RNAcentral